Canis lupus familiaris (dog) is the source of this 634-nucleotide long non-coding RNA. RefSeq lists it as uncharacterized. The record is from RefSeq and is a predicted model, not a curated record. NCBI's taxonomy places the organism in Eukaryota, Metazoa, Chordata, Mammalia, Carnivora, Canidae. The transcript is spliced from 4 exons.
CCUCAUCAAACAUCACAUAAUGAAAACCUCCAAUUUUUUCCUGUCAUUUUUAAGAUAUUGAAAUCUUGUUAAGAAAAUACUAAAAAUGCCAUGGAAGUGACAAUGUGUCAGUUCUGAGCCAAGAGUCAAGAAGUCUUACCUGCUCCCAUUGUCUUUCUUGGGAACUUCCACUGCCAUGUGAAUAAGCCUGGACUAAGGAAGAUCAGAGACCCCAGCCCACCGGAGAGAAGCCCUGGGCCCUUCUACCCGUCCUAGCUGUUGGCAACACAGACCAGCCACCACCAGCUAUAUACACCAGCACACUUCAGAAAUAUAUGUGUCUUCUAUACAGUCUUCCUUGACCGAUGUGGUGCCUCACAACUUCUUCCCCCCACAGACCAACAAAGGAUUGGAUACUCAUCCAUUUGUAACAUCCCAAUCCAAGACAUGCUUUCCUUGACUGAAUCUGGAUUUGAACGAACAAGUCCCCAAAAUAUUAUGAGAACAACUAGAGAAAUGGACUGGUAUAUGAGAUAGUGCUAAGAAAUUAUUACUUUUAUUGAGUAUAUGCAGAAAAAUGUACUUAUUUUAGAGAUGCAUACUGAGUUUGGGGGAUGGGUGGGAAACAUAUCUGUAAAUUUCUCUUACUAUAGAA